GUCUGGUGCCAGCAGCCGCGGUAAUUCCAGCUCCAAUAGCGUAUAUUAAAGUUGUUGCAGUUAAAAAGCUCGUAGUUGAAUUUCUGUUAAAGAUAACCGGUCGGCCUUUUUAGGUUGCAACCAGGUGUGUCUUUAACAUCAUUUUGGACAACGUUUUCUUUACUUAAUUGUACGGAAACGGUAUCCAAAACUUUUACUUUGAGAAAAUUAAAGUGUUUCAAGCAGGCUAACGUCUUGAAUACUGCAGCAUGGAAUAAUAAAAUAGGAUUUUAGUUCUAUUUUGUUGGUUUCUAGAACUGAAAUAAUGAUUAAUAGGGACAGUUGGGGGCAUUCGUAUUUAACUGUCAGAGGUGAAAUUCUUGGAUUUGUUAAAGACGAACUACUGCGAAAGCAUUUGCCAAAAAUGCUUUCAUUAAUCAAGAACGAAAGUUAGGGGAUCGAAGACGAUCAGAUACCGUCGUAGUCCUAACCAUAAACUAA
This 480-nucleotide ribosomal RNA is filed under the name Adelina sp. SH-2015. RNAcentral describes it as "bacterial SSU rRNA". It matches the Rfam family "Eukaryotic small subunit ribosomal RNA", at positions 559 to 1040 of the family's 1831-position model. The record is from RNAcentral. Lineage: Eukaryota; Apicomplexa; Adeleidae.